RNAcentral lists this ribosomal RNA (1244 nucleotides) under metagenome. RNAcentral's name for it is "SSU rRNA". It matches the Rfam family "Eukaryotic small subunit ribosomal RNA", at positions 527 to 1786 of the family's 1831-position model. The record is from RNAcentral.
AAAUCGUUCGACGAGGAUCUAUUGGAGGGCAAGUCUGGUGCCAGCAGCCGCGGUAAUUCCAGCUCCAAUAGCGUAUAUUAAAGUUGUUGCAGUUAAAAAGCUCGUAGUUGGAUCUGGGGUUCGGGUCGGCGGUUUGCCGCUUCGGCGGCUACUGCCGCGCUCGACUCUUACUAGCCGGUGCGUCUUGCGGUGCUCUUCAUCGAGUGCCGUAGGAGCCUGGCAUGUUUACUUUGAAGAAAUUAGAGUGCUCAAAGCAGGCGAUUCCGCCUGAAUAGUGUUGCAUGGAAUAAUGGAAUAGGACCUCGGUUCUAUUUUGUUGGUUUUCGGAACUUGAGGUAAUGAUUAAGAGGGACGGUCGGGGGCAUUCGUAUUUCGGUGUUAGAGGUGAAAUUCUUGGAUCGCUGAAAGACGGACAAAUGCGAAAGCAUCUGCCAAGAACGUCUCCAUUAAUCAAGAACGAAAGUCAGAGGUUCGAAGACGAUCAGACACCGUCCUAGUUCUGACCAUAAACGAUGCCAACUAGCGAUCCGCAGUGGUUGCUAUAAACGGACUCUGCGAGCAGCUUCCGGGAAACCAAAGUGUUUGGGUUCCGGGGGAAGUAUGGUUGCAAAGCUGAAACUUAAAGGAAUUGACGGAAGGGCACCACCAGGAGUGGAGCCUGCGGCUUAAUUUGACCCAACACGGGGAAACUCACCCGGUCCGGACACUGUAAGGAUUGACAGAUCGAGAGCUCUUUCUUGAUUCGGUGGAUGGUGGUGCAUGGCCGUUCUUAGUUGGUGGAGUGAUUUGUCUGGUUAAUUCCGAUAACGAACGAGGCUCUAGCCUGCUAACUAGUUGCGCCGUGUUCAUACGCGGCUGUAGACUUCUUAGAGGGACAGGUGGCGUUUAGCCACACGAAAUUGAGCAAUAACAGGUCUGUGAUGCCCUUAGAUGUCCGGGGCCGCACGCGCGCUACACUGAAGGAGUCAGCGUGUGCUAUCCGGGCUCGGAAGAGUUCGGUAACCCGUUGAAACUCCUUCGUGCUUGGGAUUGUGGCUUGUAAUUAUCGCGCAUGAACGAGGAAUUCCCAGUAAGUGCAAGUCAUCAGCUUGCGCUGACUACGUCCCUGCCCUUUGUACACACCGCCCGUCGCUACUACCGAUUGAAUGGUUUAGCAAGGUACUCGGAUUGGUCUCGAUCUUGUACGAAAGUGCGGGAUCUGUGGCCGAGAAGAAGGCCAAACUUGAUCAUUUAGAGGAAGUAAA